CUACCUUCGGAUUGGGAAUAACCACCGGAAACGGUGGCUAAUACCGAAUAAUGCAGCGGCACCUAAUGGUGACAGUUGUUAAAGCGGGGAUCGCAAGACCUCGCGUCUAAAGAGGAGCCUGCGGCGGAUUA
RNAcentral lists this ribosomal RNA (131 nucleotides) under uncultured Acidobacteriota bacterium. RNAcentral's name for it is "uncultured Acidobacteria bacterium partial 16S ribosomal RNA". It matches the Rfam family "Bacterial small subunit ribosomal RNA", at positions 126 to 243 of the family's 1533-position model. Lineage: Bacteria; Pseudomonadati; Acidobacteriota. The record is from RNAcentral.